Molecule: unclassified non-coding RNA, 153 nt
Filed under: soil metagenome
Description: partial internal transcribed spacer 1
Source: RNAcentral
GUGAUUAAAUCGAGCUGUGUCUUCAUUGACCGCUCACCCCUUCUCACCAUCCACAUACACCUGUGCACUGUUAGCCUGAGCCGGUUUUCCGGUCCAGGUUAUCAUUCAUACAAACUCUAGUCUUAUGAAUGUAAACGUUUUAAUAACAUAAUA